AUGUCGACCCAACCUAGAUUUGCAUAAAUCGAUUCGGAAUAUCAACUCAGCAGCGGAGCUCAGGUCUGAGACGGGGGUGUACUGAAAAUUUUCGUUGCUUACUUUCCCCCAUCACCACAGACCUAUCUCAGGAUCAAGAAUCGGGAAAGUUACAAACUGUUGGGCUAGACAUCGUCAUCGUGCUCCUGAUCUCGUCCUCUGUAAGCCUAGGUACGGAGUUUUUCAAAAAAUUCAUGAGUUGUAUUUGCUCGGUUAUUAUUCUUCUUGCCAAAAAUAUGUUAUUUUCUUAUCUCUUUUGGGAUAAUACCCGACCCCACUUUGUUGAGAUCUGAAAUUUCCGUUUGUGUAUGCAACUUCUACUAGGGACCACGAGUAUCUAUAUUUUGGGUGCCAUUUUAUUA
This is a long non-coding RNA of Salvia splendens (bonfire salvia), 401 nucleotides long. RefSeq lists it as uncharacterized. NCBI's taxonomy places the organism in Eukaryota, Viridiplantae, Streptophyta, Magnoliopsida, Lamiales, Lamiaceae. The transcript has 2 exons. The record is from RefSeq and is a predicted model, not a curated record.